GAGUAGCUCAGUCAGUAGAGCAUGAGACUCUUAAUCUCAGGGUUGUGGGUUCAAGCCCCAUGUUGGGCA
Podarcis lilfordi (Lilford's wall lizard) is the source of this 69-nucleotide non-coding RNA. The record is from the annotation of a GenBank genome assembly. NCBI's taxonomy places the organism in Eukaryota, Metazoa, Chordata, Lepidosauria, Squamata, Lacertidae.